Molecule: ribosomal RNA, 460 nt
Filed under: uncultured bacterium
Lineage: Bacteria
Description: partial 16S ribosomal RNA
Rfam family: Bacterial small subunit ribosomal RNA
Source: RNAcentral
CCUACGGGUGGCAGCAGUGAGGAAUAUUGGUCAAUGGACGGAAGUCUGAACCAGCCAUGCCGCGUGCAGGAAGAAGGCUCUAUGUGUUGUAAACUGCUUUUGUACAAGGGUAAACCUGGAUACGUGUAUUCGGAUGAAAGUACUGUACGAAUAAGGAUCGGCUAACUCCGUGCCAGCAGCCGCGGUAAUACGGAGGAACCAAGCGUUAUCCGGGUUUAUUGGGUUUAAAGGGUGCGUAGGCGGAUUGAUAAGUUAGAGGUGAAAUGUCCGGGCUUAACUCCGGAACUGCCUCUAAUACUGUUGAUCUAGAGAGUAGGAGCGGUAGGCGGAAUGUAUGGUGUAGCGGUGAAAUGCUUAGAGAUCAUACAGAACACCGAUGGCGAAGGCAGCUUACCAGUCUAUAUCUGACGUUGAGGCACGAAAGCGUGGGGAGCAAACAGGAUUAGAUACCCCAGUAGUC